GUCAAGUCAGCAUGGCCUUUAUGUCCAGGGCUACACACGUGCUACAAUGGCCGAUACAAAGCGCCGCAAUCCCGCGAGGGUGAGCUAAUCGCAUAAAGUCGGUCUCAGUUCGGAUUGCAGGCUGCAACUCGCCUGCAUGAAGCCGGAAUCGCUAGUAAUCGUGGAUCAGCUACGCCACGGUGAAUACGUUCCUGAGCCUU
RNAcentral lists this ribosomal RNA (200 nucleotides) under uncultured organism. RNAcentral describes it as "partial small subunit ribosomal RNA". It matches the Rfam family "Bacterial small subunit ribosomal RNA", at positions 1184 to 1382 of the family's 1533-position model. The record is from RNAcentral.